GACGAACGCUGGCGGCGUGCCUAAUACAUGCAAGUUGAGCGCUGAAGGUUGGUACUUGUACCAACUGGAUGAGCAGCGAACGGGUGAGUAACGCGUGGGGAAUCUGCCUUUGAGCGGGGGACAACAUUUGGAAACGAAUGCUAAUACCGCAUAAAAACUUUAAACACAAGUUUUAAGUUUGAAAGAUGCAAUUGCAUCACUCAAAGAUGAUCCCGCGUUGUAUUAGCUAGUUGGUGAGGUAAAGGCUCACCAAGGCGAUGAUACAUAGCCGACCUGAGAGGGUGAUCGGCCACAUUGGGACUGAGACACGGACCAAACUCCUACGGGAGGCAGCAGUAGGGAAUCUUCGGCAAUGGACGAAAGUCUGACCGAGCAACGCCACGUGAGUGAAGAAGGUUUUCGGAUCGUAAAACUCUGUUGGUAGAGAAGAACGUUGGUGAGAGUGGAAAGCUCAUCAAGUGACGGUAACUACCCAGAAAGGGACGGCUAACUACGUG
RNAcentral lists this ribosomal RNA (497 nucleotides) under uncultured bacterium. RNAcentral's name for it is "partial 16S ribosomal RNA". It matches the Rfam family "Bacterial small subunit ribosomal RNA", at positions 28 to 507 of the family's 1533-position model. The record is from RNAcentral.